GAUGAACGCUGGCGGCGUGCUUAACACAUGCGAGUCGAACGGUGAAAGAGAGCUUGCUCUCUGGAUCAGUGGCGAACGGGUGAGUAACACGUGAGCAAUCUGCCCCUGACUCUGGGAUAAGCGCUGGAAACGGCGUCUAAUACCGGAUACGAGCUGCGAAGGCAUCUUCAGCAGCUGGAAAGAACUUCGGUCAGGGAUGAGCUCGCGGCCUAUCAGCUAGUUGGUGAGGUAACGGCUCACCAAGGCGUCGACGGGUAGCCGGCCUGAGAGGGUGACCGGCCACACUGGGACUGAGACACGGCCCAGACUCCUACGGGAGGCAGCAGUGGGGAAUAUUGCACAAUGGGCGAAAGCCUGAUGCAGCAACGCCGCGUGAGGGACGACGGCCUUCGGGUUGUAAACCUCUUUUAGCAGGGAAGAAGCGAAAGUGACGGUACCUGCAGAAAAAGCACCGGCUAACUACGUG
RNAcentral lists this ribosomal RNA (466 nucleotides) under uncultured bacterium. Its description in RNAcentral is "partial 16S ribosomal RNA". It matches the Rfam family "Bacterial small subunit ribosomal RNA", at positions 28 to 507 of the family's 1533-position model. The record is from RNAcentral.